RNAcentral lists this unclassified non-coding RNA (335 nucleotides) under uncultured fungus. RNAcentral's name for it is "sequence contains ITS1". The stretch from base 1 to 118 matches the Rfam family "5.8S ribosomal RNA", at positions 50 to 154 of the family's 154-position model. Lineage: Eukaryota; Fungi. The record is from RNAcentral.
GAAAUGCGAUACUUAAUGUGAAUUGCAACCCCCUGUGAAUCAUCGAGUUUUUGAACGUAAAUUACACCUUUUCGGAUGUCUAAAAACAUUGCGAAAGGGUAUACAUUUUUAAGAGUAUCGAAAAAAAAGAUCCAAAUCUUUCAUUUGGAGUAAUAACGGUCAAUAUUUUGGGUCUUGGUUCAGUGGUAUAAGGAACUGUUAUCUACUUUUUAGGGAUGGUGGGACUUUGUAUCGAGCAACCUUACUUUGAAGUUGAUCGAAAGACUUGAUAGAUCAUUAUCAGUUUUACUUUUUAUGAUGGACUUUAAGAAUGUAUGGAAACCUGCUGAAUUUAA